UGGCUCAGAACGAACGCUGGCGGCAUGCUUAACACAUGCAAGUCGAACGGUAACAGGCCUUCGGGUGCUGACGAGUGGCGGACGGGUGAGUAAAGCGUAGGAAUCUGCCUCGCAGAGGGGGAUAACACGGGGAAACUCGUGCUAAUACCGCAUACGAUCUAAGGAUGAAAGUGGGGGACUUUAGGGCCUCGCGCUGUGAGAUGAGCCUACGUCCGAUUAGCUAGUUGGUUGUCUAAAGGCCUACCGAGAAGACGAUCGGUAGCUGGUCUGAGAGGAUGAUCAGCCACACNGGUACUGAGACAC
Molecule: ribosomal RNA, 303 nt
Filed under: uncultured bacterium
Lineage: Bacteria
Description: bacterial SSU rRNA
Rfam family: Bacterial small subunit ribosomal RNA
Source: RNAcentral